This 11713-nucleotide long non-coding RNA is filed under the name Ricinus communis (castor bean). Its description in RNAcentral is "long non-coding RNA (RCOM_LNC002314)". The record is from RNAcentral. Lineage: Eukaryota; Viridiplantae; Streptophyta; Magnoliopsida; Malpighiales; Euphorbiaceae.
UGAAUGAAGGUCACAAGAUAAUACUAGAACAUAACAUGAACUGAUGAACAUACAGUUGCAUUUUGUUGAGCAGGCAACCGACCUGCUAAAACAAGCUUUGGGACAGUAAAGGCCUACAAAAGAAUUCAAGAACUCCAAUAAGAAAAUGCGCAUACGGCUUGAAGGAAUCAACUUAAAUUGAGAAGAAAACAGAAAAAUUUAAAUAGUAUAAAUAAAAAGAAAUGGAAUACCUCUGUUAAAAGAGUUGAUAUUGUUGCCAAAGUAAAUGCCCCACGGCCCAGAGGAAGAGCAGUGGUCCUCUGUGCCAGGUGCCACAAUUGAGCCUUUACAUGAGAGGGAGAGAAAAGAAGAAGAAACAAAAAAAUAAGAUGAAAAUCAACCACAACAACCAUUGAACCAUUAACAGUAAACAAUAAAACAAUAACAAUAAUAAUGACCCAUUAAAACCUUUUGAGACCUCUAUUUCAAAAGAUAUCCCUAAAAUGCUUAAUCUAAGAAUUUACUCAUUCAUAACUUUGAAAAUCUCCAACCACAGGAUAAAUCAUCUAAGUCCUAUCGGGCUAAACUCUAGAGGCAAAAGAAAUAAAUUGUAAAUCAACAAUGUUCAAAGACACAAGGCAGGGAUUGAUGCCAUAAUCUUUCUCCAGAAAUAUCCACCUCAUUUAGCAUAUUACGGACCCUCUUCAAUUCCCAUUUAUAAAAAUGGUGGAAAGGGAGAUAAACGCAAAAGAUAGAAAUUUCUGGGAAGGGAGAUAAACAUAAAACAUAGAAAUUUUUGGGAAUCGAAAAAUUUAUUGAUGAUAAGAAAAUAUUUUUACAGCCAACUCGACUACCCCUCAACCCCUAAUUGGUUAGGGUCAAUUAUAGGGAGCCUUAUUUUCAAUUCAUCCCUAAUUAAGGAAACUUUCUAUAACGAUCACAAUAGUCCACCAUACUUACUACUUCAGUUCACAUUGAUAUAGGUCUACCUCUACCCCUUGAAUUUGCUCCUUUUCCUUCAUUCUUCUCUACAAUUUACUUGUAUGGGUGUUAAAUUUCAAGAAUAUUUUGGGUACAGAAGAACAAAUGACUUCUAGAAUGCAAAGCGUGUGAUAAAUGGACUCUAAUAGACAUCAGGGAAUGUCUUUAAAGUAAACUCAUACUAGCAUCCAACAUCUCAGUCUAUAUAUGUACAAGGAAAGAACUAUAACAUACAAAAUCAAGUAUUAUUUAUAACUGAGAACAAGCAAAGUGCACCUGUUGGAUAUCCUGAUCAGAGGCACUGGGAUUAACAGAUGUUUGGAUAGCCACAGGUUUUGCGGAGCACAGAAGGCGUCUAACCUAAUAGAAGCCAAAGUAGCCAACAAAAACACAGAAGGAACUUGAACUCAUGCUAGCCAGUGUACAUAAGUGCAAUUUGAUAAAAAGUGAGCUAUCCCAAUAUAAAUAACUAAACUAUGCUAGAUGCUAAAAAAUUUCAUUAUGACUAUCUUGUGAUAUCACUUUCUAAAUGUGAAAUGUACAUCAUUAAGCAUUUCAUACCCUAUAGCUAAUUCAUGCAAAUAAUAGAAGAUUGUUCUCAACAACUACAAUUUGCAUCACUGAGUUUUUCAUGGUCAAAUACAAGGAACCAAGCAGACCUCAUUCAAUCGCAGAUCUCGACCAUACUGCAACUGAGUGCUAGAGUUGAAGAUGUGCUCCAUACCAUCCAUCAUGGACCCAUCAGCAGAUUCUGUAUCAUCAAACUUGGAGGCAUCCAGUCCAGUUGAAUCAGAAACGGCAGAAGGAAUUGUCACAGGAUGCAUAUGUAGCAUGUAAGGUGCAGACAUGGAUAUUAAAUUCGCUUUGGAUUGAGUUUCAAGUUCCUUAGAUUUGUGGGAAUGGGUUAAACGUAACAUGGCCAGAUCUUCACGACCAAGAAGAACAUAUGCUGCUGCAGGCCAAUCAGUUGGUGGAGAUUCUCGGCACUUAUCCAACACCUACAAAGAACUGAAAUGUCAAUACAGUAGAAGAUAUAUUCAACUAUACAUGAAUAGAUAUAGUUGUGAAGGAAUAAAAUCUUAAUAUUGACAAAGCCAAUAGGGUUGUAAGAGAUAGAUUUUGCCAUAACCAUAAGGUCUACAAUCCAAAGGAGCAAACUUCUUUUGAGGCUUGUUUCAGUACUUAGGUUUCACCAUUAUUUUGUGAAAUAAAACUUCCACAUCCUUAAAACUUGACCAUAGUUAAAAGGUAUUUGGCCAUUAAUCCAGUCAAUCAUAUUGUUACUAGGUUUUAUUCAUGUCUAUUUCAGUUGUUAGAAAGUCUCAUUCUGAUAGACGUUGUAUUUGAAAGAAUACUCAUUAAUUUAUUUUUCAAACGACUCAGAAAAAUUUUUUGUUUGAGCAAAAUGGUAGAGGAAGACUUCUGAAUAAACUAUAAAGUAAACAAAAAGAGAGACAAAAAAGAAAGGAAGAGAAUCUAUUUGCAAGUUUUUAAUCCUCCAGCAACACACAGAGGGAAAAGGAAGAGGAGGAGAGAGAAGGAGAAGUUGAGAAAUAAAAAUGGCUUAGGUAAUAUCCUGAGAGCAACUCAGCAGUUAAUUACAAUUGCAGCUCAGCGGUUGAAAAGAGUGAAAAUUCUCCUCCUUAUCAAUGAAGACUGCAGAUAUUAGGAAUCCAUACUAAAUUUUUAACAAUGAGAGCAAAAGUGUCCAAAGACAGAAAAUCAAAUGAUUGAAACCCCCAAAAUAGGCUUUAUUGUUUCACCAGUAGAUUGCUCUGAACAUUAAAUGAAUCUAUCAAUACCCAAAAACAAAGAAGAAUUAGUUUCCCAUUAUGUUUUCACAGAAAAACCUAGGAAUGCCUUCAAUGACGACACAAUAAUUAAGCAAUUAAAAACCCUUUCUCACUUUGUAUAUUCCUCAGAAACUACUAUACAUAUUUGCAAAGUUUCUCAAAUCCGUUGGCAGUCAAGAGUUUCCAACACACUACAAAGCAAAAUAACUCAACUUACAUGUCGCAAAGGAAGAGAAACACCAGAAGGUAGUGAGUCAAGCUGCUGCAGUCCAAAUUUUUCUCCAACCAUUGCCAAGACAGUGAGCUCCUCGCUAGUGCAAUACGAUCCCAAAGCAACACUGCAGUAAACACCAGAAGAUAGCUGUUUCCCUAUCUGUUUAGCUCCACAUAAUAGACUGUAGAAGGAGACUAUCUUCCGUGCCCAGCUCACUACAGAACUUCCAUCUUUAUAAAUUAAAGGUGGCAGAUCAUUUCUAUUAGCAGAAGUGCAACCAAGUUUCAAACAGUUUUCAAGCCAUCUGAAUAUGCUAGGAGGAGCUUUCUGGGAAAGAGAUACUGUGCACAUCCCAAUUUUCUUAUAAAGUCCAGGGAAAUCACGAACAUAAUGAUCUAUAUAACUUUCUUUGCCAAGGAACUUGGCCAUUUUGCAUAACAGAACUGCCAGAAGCUCCAAGUCCCUGCAAGUAAAGUUGGACUUAUCUCGUUAACAGAAUUUAGAAAUAGCACAAGUACAUAGUGUAAUAUUUAACAGUUUAUUCAGGAAACAGAAAAAGAAAAUGUUUUCCAGCCAAAAUUUCAUGUUGAGUGGUGAAAAGAGAGAACAAUUCAUAAUUUUACAAUUACAAAAUCAAAGUCAUUUCAGCUGGUAUGCGGUGCACAAGAAGCAAAUACUGAGCCUAAAUGCUUUAUAUAGCAGCCAACCUCCAAGUGUCUAUCUUAUUUGAAUGUUGUAUGUACUUUUAUGGUUUGAAAACCUUGAGAUGAUAUAAAUUGUUUAAAAAAAUGAACAAAAAGAACAUGUACAUUUACCACUUAUUGCAAAGUUAGCUUAUGGGGCUCAACAAAAUAAAAUAAGAAAUUAUCAGGGUUAAGGGUGGAGAAAGGAGAAGAGUUCGGGAGUCGAGAACUAGUUAGAGAAUAGUAUAGUUUCAACAGAUUACAUUACUCGGCAACAACAGUAGAAACUAAACUCACCGAUUGCGAAGAUUAUCCAAUUUCAGACUUUCAUAUAAUGCAUGCAGACAAUCCAAACUCCCCUGUAAUAGGUCAAAGUAAAAUGAUUCUUCUGAACUUUGUUUAUCCUUUGUAUUUGAUCCAGAAGAAUUCAUUUCCCCAACAGACAGUGAUGUUGCAGAAGAAUAUCCAGUAAUGAAAUUAAGUUUUGUAUAGUUCUUGUGAAAUCUGCUGUUAAGAAGGAACUCCCAGGAUGAAACUGGAAGUAAAUUAGAAGGCUUCAGAGAAGUUGCACUAGACUUUACACACAUUCUAAGUAUAACACUUGAAAAUGAGUCCCAUUCAGAAUCAACAGUAGAAUCAGCCCUUGACAAGUAGUCAGAAUCAUUCUCUCCCCAAAGAAGAACAAGGAAAUGAUUAUAGAAACUGGAAGUGAGCCCCUCAGCCAUUGCUGUGAUGCAAUCUUUCACCAAUGAAGAUGAAGGAUUUCUUCGUAAUGCACAUCGAAACAUCUAGGAAAAUUACAAAAAGUAUAGUCAGGUACCAUAAGACAACCAACAAACAACUUGUGAUGAGAAGAUAACAAAUAAAUAUUACUGAGACUGGUAAAUUUUUUCAUUUAACUACCAGAAUUUCUCCGCCUAAAUUGAGUUCAUAUAAGCAUUGAGCAUGAUAUUAGAAUUUUUUUCUAAACAGUGCUCAAGUAAAUUAGCUAACUUGUCGGGAGGGACCUAUUCCUCUUUUAAUAAGAGAACGAUGAAGCAUUUUCCUCCAAUCCACCAUGCCAAAGGCCAUAAGUAAUGUAGCACAAAACAGAAUUUAUAUAUAAAAAGAAGUCACCACUCAAAUGGUGCUACAAAUUAUAGAACAGAAGUAGCAAAUAAGUCGAGAAAGUUGAAGAUCAACCCAUCUCGAGAACCUGAAAAGAAAAGGACAACGAAUAUUGCAAUCUUGCUAAGCAAAAGCUUACUAAAUACCAAAAUUAGUAUACCUGCCCAUUAUUUGUUAUUAAAUUCACACGCCCCUCCACAGCAUCAGCCAAUCCUAGAAUCUUUAAGUCAUGACUUUUACCCAAAGAAGAAGGCAUGAAAUACUUGCACAGGCAUUGCUUCCCCGACUGCAGUAUGACAUAUAUAUAUAUCAAUUAAUCACACCCAGCAAGAUUAUAUUAAGAUGUCGAAAGUAGUUCAGCAAACAAAUGUCGUGCCAAGCAAAUAUGCUAUCACGAUAUUGCUAUAUAAGAAACUCUAUAUUCUGUAGACAGAUAAUUUGGGGUACAGUACCAGGCUGCCAGCACAAAAAUUAUACGUGCUUUCUAUUACAAGAAUAGGAGGUUCCAAUAGAAAGUAAUCUCAUAUGUGGGCAAUAACUUUCAGAAGUAAUGAACCAUAAUUAUUAUAAACAAUUGCAGAAAGCAUGCAAAAGUUUUGCACAUGGCAAGCAAUUAGGCAGCACAGCUGAAUAUGAGACAUAAUCAACCAGGUAGGAUACGCUAAAUCAAUCCAUUUCACAAUGAGCACUCUAAUAUCCUCAAGCUUUCAGCUAGCAAGUACACUAUCUAGAUUAUUUCCUUAGUCAGAUCAUGAGGAACUAAGUUACUUCCUGUUGGGCAUGCAACCAUUUCAGUUUUAACUAAAUGAAACUUAUCCACAUCCCUUCCUUCUGAAGUUUCUAACAGUCACUUAAGUAGCUGAAAAGGAAAGGGAGUGUGAUGGGAGUGGGGAAGAGAGAGAGAGAGAGAGAGCAUACUUAACAUAUUAGAGAAAAAUUCAAAAUAAAAACAGGAUAGGUACUAAGAAGAAGAAACUAUCAGUAUUAAUUUUAGUUCAGAAAUCCUAAAAAGAAUAUCAAAAAGAUUAAAACCUCUUGCUAGAGACAACAAAAUUACAGGUACAAAAUUAUCCAAAGAAAGAGAGAUCCUAAACAGCAUCAAACACAAGCUCCCAUAGACAUAAUUCAAACAGAAGUUAAACAAAAUUGCUAAGAACAGUUAAAUAAAUAGUGCAUAAAGCUUACAUAGAGGAGAAGUGUGUUUUCUGGAGCCAAAACAACAAUGUCUGAAUACGGAAGCAGUCCGGCUUUCACUCUGACAAGGAAAACAGGAAAAACAAAAAGGACAAAUGUAGAUCCAGUAAUAGAUAAACAAUUAAUCAAGAUAACAGUAAAUGGUGAAAAAAGAAAGUGAUUAAAGCAAAGUUAGUUCUACCUUGGGCGUGUUAUAAUCACUGGUGCAGCUGCAGUUGCAGAUAUGCUCCAGCUCAUGUCAGGUUUAACAUCAAAGAUUAUCUCAUUAUUGAUUGCAAGACUUUGAAGCCUUACUGACAACAAUUUCUUCUGUUCUUGAAGAAGAAAACAAAGAACAGGAGCAGCAUCAUCAUCAGUUGCCAGAAACACCUGGUAACAUGGACAAGAACAAAUUGCUUAGCUACACCAUAUUAACAGCUCAAAAGACAUCAGUGGAAUAGGUAUCAUAUUUAAAUCAUCCAAAUGCAGAUAAGAUGCAGCAGAAAGUGGAAAGAGCAUAGUGGUCAAAAUGAUAGAACAUAAACAGAAAGUGCACUUAUUUGAAGAGAAAAACAUGGUGAAAGAAUAACUCAAAGAAAUAUUUGACUUUUACACAAAGAAUGAGGUUUUAAGGGCAGGAAAAGAAUAUAAAAUUUCAGACUGAAGAUAGUACUAAAUGGCUUUUUCAUGUCAUGGGGCUUGAAGGUAUGGAGUAAGGAUUAGACUCUAUAAUGCAAAAGACAGCAGAUAACUGACUAAAGGCACCUUACAAGCAGCUGCUUGGGCACCCUUCCCUUGCCAUAUUCUACGCAAGGAGAACUGUUUAGCUACUACACCAGUGGGAAUCUCGUCAAUCGAACUAGCAUUUGCGUCUUCAAGGUUGGAAUUGAUGACUUCAACAACCCACACUGAAUGCUGCAACUUUCCUGCAGAAGAAGUGGCAAGGAAUUUAAUGUGUGAAUCGAGAUUAAAGGGGGAGGCAAACAAAACAUAAAGUUUAUCUAGUCAAAGAAAAUAUGAGAUACCUUUGUUGUAUGAAGCCAUUAGAGGAAUUUGAUCACUUGUCCAAAUUGUUUUUUCAUCAAAAUCCUUCAUUAUGUUCAACUUUCCUCUUUCUUCAAUAUAAGUUGACUGAAAGAAUUCAAGUAACAUGGCUUCUUUAUGACUGAGAGAGUGUUAAACUAAUGAAAACCAGAAGGCAAGAAUGCAAGAAGAUAGAAAUACCUGUGGCUCUUCCAGCAGAUCCUUCAGAAUCAGAUGAGAGGACAAGGUUACUGUGUCUGCUUUGAUCACAUUAUCAAAUGCAUUGGAAAAAGUGACAUUUUGUUGCGGACUGUGUCCAAUUUCUCUUCUAAGAGAGGAUAUAUCACGUGCACCUAAUAAAGGAUUUGUGGAUAAAAAAGUUGAUUGCAUUGGUGAACUCCCUUCAGCUGCUGGCUGGAGUAGCAAACCAAAUGGAAGAGGCCAUAUUGAUGUAAUGGUACAGGGGAGGGGAAUGGAUACUACUUCGCCUGGUGUUUUUUUUUUUCAAAAAGAAAAAAGAACAUCUGUAAUUUCAGAAAUGAAUUAAGCUCAAACUGUUCAAGAAAAUGAAUAAGCCGACAAUGGAAUUAAGUUUCAGGAUAAAAGCAAAUUAGCAUCAAUGUAAAUAGGGAUAAACCAAGUGUGUAUAGGGUACAAAAACUAUAGGCUCCUCUAGUAUCAGUAUAAGAUAUUGACAAUCUAAUUCUCAGUUUACCAAUAUUUAAAAGAAGAAACUACAAAAAAUCAACCAAAAGAUGAUAGUGCCAACCAACCAACAUAUUACCACAUCUUUUAUCUCGUCAAUGGAUAUAUGAUAACUAUCUGAUACUCUCCCUCCCUUCCAAGCAUUGCUGAAGUGAAAAGGAAGUGUUUUUUGGGCAUUUUAUGACUCCAAAGAGAUGCACAUUAAACACUGCUGACUUAUAGGAGUACACUUUACUACUUUAGAGAAAGAGCAUAUUACUUAAUCAUCACUUCCCACUCAGCUUGCCUGAUAUGUUUUAGUCAUCACUGGAAACUUCCCACUCAGCUUACCUGAUAUAUUGUAUAUUGUUAGAGAAUCAAUUUGCAAGAUGCAAAGCAAAGCCUCAGACAUCUCACCCAGAUGACACCAGCAUGCCUAUAACAUAAAAGACAUAGUAGUUAUCAAUAGAAAUUCAAAGCUAUAAAUGGAAUCGUAUAAGCAUAAUGCUACUUGCAAGCAAUACAAAUUGCAGAGACAAUAAAGCAAGUUUAGUAUUUGAUAAAGCAAAGAUAAAAUUAGGUCAAAAAAAUAUCUGGAAAACAUCAAAGUCUGAGCCAUGCUUUCAGAUGUUUGUAACAAUUAAACAACAAAUGUAAUAAAUUUACUAUAUCGGCAAUAGAAUUUGACUAUCACCUAAAGAAAAAAUAGUUUAAAUUGAGAAAAAAGGUAGCUGAAGUAGGCAUCAAGGUGUAGCACAAAUGUCAAGGGCGGAUUUCAAAAAUAAUAUCCGAAAAAUUUUUUUAAGAAAAAAAGAAGCUCUUCAUCAAAUAGAUGUUCUCUCUGGCAAAACAAUGUAGCAUUCAAAUGAUCAUAUCUGACUAGCACACACCCACCUUUGCGUCCCAUUAACCGCCAAUUCAUAUCAUCCUAAGUAGUUAGUCAAAAGUGAACAAAAGAAAAAUGAAGCAAACAUCUAGCUUUUAGAAAGUAUCAAAUAAAACUCCAUCAUGAGAUAUCGAAUGUGAGAUGUAAGAAAUGGUGAGAAAAUACCAUUUUAACAGGGGAGGGAGAGGUAAAUCUCUUGAAAACUCGUGAACCUGUGGACCAUAUUAUCCUGUUAAACAUGAGAAGAGAGAAAUUUAUGUAAACAUGCAAAUAAUCAAUCAGGAGAGUAAAACAGAAAGCAAGAAAAGAAUUGUGAUUAGUAAAGAGAUAUAACUUCAAAAACUUCUCCUUUUUUCCCUUGUCUUCUCUUGAUUUGCCUUGGAAUCCAGCUUAAUAAUAGUAUAACCAAGUUUCAAACGUCUAAUGACUAAAACCAGCAAGAAAAAGAAACUAUAGCAGUAAAGAAUUCAAACCAAGUAUUAACAAUAACAAUAUUUAGGCUUUGUGCAUUGAAAUCCUGCAAAGUUAAAUUUGAUAUGAUUUCAUUUCUUGCAAAAUGCCUUGUUUAUUAUACGUUGGAAGAAUUCAAUACUAGCAACUAAAAGUUUUCCAAACACGAGAAUUGCCUAAACAGAAUUCAGUUGAAUUGAAUUCAUGCAUUUUCUGAACUUCUAUUGAAAACUAUAGCUGCAUUUUCAAUUUAGCUUAAUAGAUUACUAAUUUAGCUCACUGAACCAAUAUUAUAAUACAAGCUCCAUUCAAUUAUUUUAAACCUUUUAUAAAAACAAAUAUGCAUAUACAAUUUAUCUUACUAUACUACUACAUUUAGCUCAAUAAAACCCUUAUCAUUGUUCAGAACUUAAUCUCUCAAUUAACAUAUUUAUUUUUAUUUUACUUUUAUCUUAAAUUUUACUUGAAAAAGAAACAUAAAAGCAAACUGUUCCACUACAAAAUAAUCCAGAUUCACCUGUUUCCUCUAAUGAAGAGUUCAUGAUCACAUUGGUCGCUAAAAGGAGAUGCAGAAAUAUCGGAAUCGUUCAUUUCGUCUCGGUCUCUGACGAUGUCAGGGUCAAAAAGAAAGUAAUCGUACUUAUCAGUGACGACAUUAUUAUUAUCAAGAGGUUUGCCGUCGAGAGCUUCAGCUAUUAAACCAAAUGGCUUGAACUCGCCAAGUACGGUGAGUUCACGAAGCAUUGAAUCGGUUACUGAGUUAACAAGGCGAGUUCAGAAAUUGAAAGCGAAAAUGAUAAUGGAAAGUGAGAUAUAAAAACUCGCUCCCGCUCUUUUUUUUUUAUUUUUUGUCAUUUUUGAGAAAUUGUAAACCCUAGGGGUUAUGUUAUGUUUGGCUUGUUGGAAUUGGUUGUUCUUGUUUGGGAUUAGGUUAUCCUGAACUGUUUUAGCAUAGCUAAAUUAAAAAUAUUUAGACAAAUAUUUAAAAUGUAUUUUUUGCUCGAUUUUAAUUCCUCAUCUAAAUGUUUUAACUCAAAAUAAAAUUAUACCUAUCCAAUUUAAUUUUUAAAGAGAAAUUAUAUUCUAAAAUUUAUCAUUUAGCAUAAAAAUUAAAUAUGAAAAAAUCAGAAGUCCGUAAGCAAAAAAGUCUUUGAUGUUAAUUAAAUAAAUUAUUGACUUAUUUUAAAAUUAAAUAUAAUUCAUUUAAAAUUUUAUAUUCAUACUAUAUAGAUAUAAAAUUAAUUCAUAUUUAGAUUGUAAAUACAGUUUUUAUAUUAUACAUUUAUACUUAUUUAAAAUAGAUUAAUUUUGUUUAUACAUGAAAUUAGUUUAUGUUUAAAACAUUAUAAAUAAUAGAAUUCAAUGACUUUAUUUUAGAAAAUUUUUAAUCAGAAAUCAUUUUAAAAUGUAAUACAUCAAUAACAUAAAUUUGUAAAAGCUUCACUAAACUAUUUUAUAAUUUAAUGUAUUAUUAUUUUAGAAUAUAUAAUUUAUUUUUUUAUUUUAAUUAUUCAUAAAUAUAAUUAUUAAUAAAUAAUAAUUAAUAGUAAAAUAACAAUCAAAUUACAUAAUACUAUUAACAAUUCUGAUAUGGCACACAACAACGAUCAAAUUAAAUAAUAUUAUUAAAAAAUUUGACGUAGGAUGCAAUGACAUUAAGAAAUUUUAACGUGGCAUGCAAUAGUAACUCCAACAAUAUUUGUUAUGCGAUUUAACUGUUAUUUAAUAAUAAUUAUAUUUAAAAAUAUCAAAAUAUCAAAAUAAAAAGAUAAACAAUAUAUUCUAAAAUAAAAAUAUCUUAAACUAUAAAAUAAUUUUUCUGAAUAAACUAUUUAUUGGCAGUCUUGGAUAUCCCAUCAUUAACAAGAAUAUGCACAAAUUGAUUACACAGAUAUUGUCUUCAACUAAUUACUAUGGUUUCUCCCAAAAAAUCGAUAUGAUUUUACAAAAUUACAUGCCUUAUUUCUAACUCUUUGUGUUUGAAUUAAUUAUAAAAAAUAUAUAUUUGAAGCAUAUAAAACACAAUGUCCUUCAUAAAAACCAAAAGAAUAUAACCAAAAUAAAUCAAAAUAAAUCGAUGCAAUCGUCUUAAGNNNCAGAGACAUUACUGGCAGUCCCCAUUAAAAGAGGAAACACACGAAAACACCAUUAACUACAAACCAAAGCUACAAUUACAUAUACUUAGCCAUGCAUGCAGGCAUGGUCACAAGUACACAGCUAAAUAAACCUAAGUACGUACGACAGUGACCCAAAGAUACACUAAUACACUUGGAAGACUACCCCCACUUUCCAUUAUUCAGCAAGCAGAUUUAGCCCCUGGUCCUGAACUUGGACUCGUCAAGGGAGAUUCCCUCUCUCUCUGCUCGCUCUCCACCGGACUCAUCCGUGGUGCUCAACCCACCCUUGCGGCCCAUCUCCUGAUACCCCUCCGUUCCCAGCUGCUCCUUCCUCGUCUGACCUCCUCGGCUCCGCCCUAUCACAAACAAAUAACAACCAAUCAACAUAUAGCUAACAGUAACAACAAUAAUAAACACACUAUUCUUUUAUUUAGAAACUGAGAGCACAUAUCGGUUUCAAAUAGAGUAGCGGUGUAGUGACCGGUUUCUCAAUUAAAAUUGAAAUGGAUUAUUAAAUUGUUUACCUUCAGCAAGGUGUUCUUGGGCUUCGAGGCUCUUGCCACCUGUGCCACCGGGGAUUACAGUCUCACCUUGCCUAGCCCUGUUAUCGAGCUCUUCCCUUG